RNAcentral lists this ribosomal RNA (253 nucleotides) under uncultured bacterium. Its description in RNAcentral is "partial 16S ribosomal RNA". It matches the Rfam family "Bacterial small subunit ribosomal RNA", at positions 524 to 776 of the family's 1533-position model. The record is from RNAcentral.
UACGUAGGGGGCAAGCGUUGUCCGGAAUCAUUGGGCGUAAAGCGCGUGUAGGCGGCUCGGUAAGUCCGCUCUGAAAGCCCGGGGCUCAACCCCGGGAGGCGGGUGGAUACUGCUGAGCUCGAGUCCGGAGGAGGAGUGUGGAAUUCCUGGUGUAGCGGUGAAAUGCGCAGAUAUCAGGAGGAACACCAAUGGCGAAGGCGGUUCUCUGGGCAUGUCCUGGCGCUGAGGAGCGAAAGUGUGGGGAGCGAACAGG